Molecule: ribosomal RNA, 346 nt
Filed under: uncultured soil bacterium
Lineage: Bacteria
Description: bacterial SSU rRNA
Rfam family: Bacterial small subunit ribosomal RNA
Source: RNAcentral
AGGAUGAACGCUGGCGGCGUGCUUAACACAUGCAAGUCGAACGAUGAAGCCGGGAGCUUGCUCCUGGUGGAUUAGUGGCGAACGGGUGAGUAACACGUGAGUAACCUGCCCCAGACUCUGGGAUAAGCACUGGAAACGGUGUCUAAUACCGGAUACGAGCUUCAGCCGCAUGGCUAGGAGCUGGAAAGAUUUCGGUCUGGGAUGGACUCGACGGCCUAUCAGGUAGUUGGUGAGGUAAAGGCUCACCAAGCCGACGACGGGUAGCCGGCCUGGAGAGGGUGACCGGCCACGACUGGGACUGAGACACGGCCCAGACUCCGUAACGGGAGCAGCAGGUAGGGAAUUA